This 252-nucleotide ribosomal RNA is filed under the name uncultured bacterium. RNAcentral describes it as "partial 16S ribosomal RNA". It matches the Rfam family "Bacterial small subunit ribosomal RNA", at positions 524 to 776 of the family's 1533-position model. The record is from RNAcentral.
UACGGAGAGUGCAAGCGUUAUCCGGAUUCACUGGGUUUAAAGGGUGCGUAGGCGGGCAGGUAAGUCAGUGGUGAAAUCUCCGGGCUUAACCCGGAACUGCCGUUGAUACUAUCUGUCUUGAAUAUCGUGGAGGUAAGCGGAAUAUGUCAUGUAGCGGUGAAAUGCUUAGAUAUGACAUAGAACACCGAUUGCGAAGGCAGCUUACUACACGAUCAUUGACGCUGAGGCACGAAAGCGUGGGGAGCAAACAGG